This 1709-nucleotide small RNA is filed under the name Tannerella forsythia 3313. RNAcentral's name for it is "BMV3_UPD-PK1 RNA". The record is from RNAcentral. Lineage: Bacteria; Pseudomonadati; Bacteroidota; Bacteroidia; Bacteroidales; Tannerellaceae.
AAGACGUAACCUGUACGUUCGGGAGAUGGUUUUACUUCAAUUCUUGGAUUACCGGGAGGAGUAGGAAGAGUAUACGACGACGGAUAUUUAUUGAGCAAUUCCGGCUUGUUGGGCACUUCCGGCAUUUUACCGCCUGCGGUUGUUUUGUCAUCCUUGAAAUCAUAUUCGAUCUUCCAACCUUGCAACACCAUCUCGGCCGUAAAGGUCACAUCGCCUUUCACAUCUACCGUAGUAUACCAGUUGGCAUUCCCCUCCGGUCCCGAUGUUGCGGGAACAGCCGCUUCACCGUCUUUCAGCGAAGUAAACCCGCCAUGUUUCCAGCCUUUAAACUUAUACGCAGCUCCUGACGGGGUUACCGUCACACCCGCGGCCGGUUUCGUACCAUAAUCAAUCACUUGAUCGUUUCCGUUGGUCAAUGCGCCUCCGGCUGCAGGAUCGACGGUGAAUUUAACCGUGCAAACGGCGCGCUGAUGAUACGUAGUAUCGGUUUGUGAAAUAUAUUCUUGCAACUCUCCACGCCUCAGACUUAAUUCACCGCUUUGAGGCUCCAGCAUAUCUUCCCAUUGAGUGGUUACUUUGGCGGUAUUUUUCAUGAUGUUCUGAUAAUACGCCUGAAUCAACGGGGUUUUCAGCUUCGCUUUAAAUGUUACGACUUUAUUCACUCCUCUGGGAACAUUUUCCAACGUCCAUUUAAUCAUACCGCUAUUCUCAACUCCGCCUUCGGUAAUAGAGCCGGGAACCACUUCAAGUCCUUCGGGAAGCUUAUCCUCAAUGAUCAGAGUGGAAAGAGGUUCACCCUGUGCCCGUAAUCCCAUACGGGCGGAAGACAUCGCUUGACCUCCUCCCUCUUCCUGUGGGGCCGCAUUAACCGCUUCGAUUUUAUAUUCGAUGAUAUCCCCAAGAAGCACUUUCACAGGCGCGGCCAAUGUCCCGUUAUUGACCCCACCAUCAUUCACAGAAGCACUUUUCGUACUUUCAAAGCCGAAAUAUGCCUUGUCAUAUCUACUACAUAUCCUCGGCUCAUCCUUUCUUGUUUGAAUAGAUAUGCUACUCGGCUGUAAAUCCGGAUCUGAAUUGAUAUAGUUACAUACCUGAAUCUCUAAUUCACCGCCUUUAUACUCAUUGCUGAACUUGUACUGUAUACUUCUUAAAAAAGUUUGCGCAUCGGAGGCCGAUACGCCGGAUUCAUUUUCAAGAAAAGAACCAUAAGGACUGUACCCUAACGGUUUCGACUUCCAUCCGGCAGGAAGUCGAUAAGUAGCAGUACCCUGUUUAAAAUCAAUGGAUACAGACCUGAUUCGAAGUCCGUCACUUGCAACAACACUUAAGCUGGGGAAAGUGUAAUACACCCCCGCACCGUCCUUAUGCUUGACGGCAUUACCUAAGUUUACCUUGAUACUUUGCGCAUGCGACAGCAUCACAAAGCCUAUCAAAAACAAAAAAAUAACAGAUAAUUUACCUCUCAUAAUUAAAUAUAUUUAAGUUAAUGGCCGCAAAGGUACACCCGCCAAGUAUCUUAUGCAAAUCCACCGUAUUAAAAAACACAAAUAAUUAGUUAAAAUAUAUUUUAUUUUGUUUUAUUCAACACUAUUAUAUUAUCGGUCGUUUUCUUUACAGAGGCGCGCAUAGAUCAAGGGUCUCACUCUACCAUAACGCAGUGAUACAACAUACCAAAAAGCACAAAUACUAAACCACUAUUACACAUUUAC